AUUGAACGCUGGCGGCAUGCCUUACACAUGCAAGUCGAACGGUAGAGUAGCAAUACUUGAGAGUGGCGAACGGGUGAGUAAUAUAUCGGAACGUGCCCAGUCGUGGGGGAUAACGUAGAGAAAUUUACGCUAAUACCGCAUACGAUCUAAGGAUGAAAGCGGGGGAUUCGCAAGAACCUCGCGCGAUUGGAGCGGCUGAUAUCAGAUUAGGUUGUUGGUGAGGUAAAAGCUCACCAAGCCGACGAUCUGUAGCUGGUUUGAGAGAACGACCAGCCACACUGGGACUGAGACACGGCCCAGACUCCUACGGGAGGCAGCAGUGGGGAAUUUUUGGGACAAUGGGCGAAAGACCUGAUCCAGCAAUGCCGCGUGCAGGAAGAAGGCCU
This 386-nucleotide ribosomal RNA is filed under the name uncultured bacterium. Its description in RNAcentral is "bacterial SSU rRNA". It matches the Rfam family "Bacterial small subunit ribosomal RNA", at positions 30 to 417 of the family's 1533-position model. The record is from RNAcentral.